UACGAAGGGGGCGAGCGUUGUUCGGAUUUACUGGGCGUAAAGGGCGCGCAGGCGGCUAUCCAAGUCAGGCGUGAAAGCCCCGGGCUUAACCUGGGAGGUGCGUCUGGGACUGGGUGGCUAGAGUUCGGGAGAGGAGAGUGGAAUUCCCAGUGUAGAGGUGAAAUUCGUAGAUAUUAGGAAGAACACCGGUGGCGAAGGCGGCUCACUGGCCCGUAACUGACGCUGAGGUGCGAAAGCGUGGGGAGCAAACAGG
Molecule: ribosomal RNA, 253 nt
Filed under: uncultured bacterium
Lineage: Bacteria
Description: partial 16S ribosomal RNA
Rfam family: Bacterial small subunit ribosomal RNA
Source: RNAcentral